Molecule: unclassified non-coding RNA, 1686 nt
Filed under: Chelonus insularis
Lineage: Eukaryota; Metazoa; Arthropoda; Insecta; Hymenoptera; Braconidae
Description: chitinase domain-containing protein 1, transcript variant X4
Source: RNAcentral
UUUUUUAUUUGUUGUUUAAAUGCAAUAUGUUUCUUUGUAAAUUCCAUUUUAAUUAAAAAUUUACUGAUUUUACAUAUGAUAAUGAUAUUUGUGUCAUGAUUUCUUAGUCUUUUAUUUCUAAUAUUCGUCAUAUAAUUAUUUAAUAAAAUCUUACCAAAUAAUUCACUAUUUACAUAGAAUUUCAUAAUGAAUCUAUUUUUUCUAAUUAUUAACAUAUCCUUGUUUAUUACAACAAUUACGUGUACUUUGUCUCCACCCACUAACAAACAAAAGAAAGAUAAAGGACACAUAACCGGCAAGAAAGGACCUAUCAACCAGAGUGUAUUUGAUAGAGGACUAGUUGUAGAGAAUCCAAAAAGUACCGAUAUUUUAAAAGAAAGCGGACUUUAUCAUAAAAAUACUAAAGUAAAAAAUUUUCCAAAUGAAGUCCUUGGAUAUAUAACUCCAUGGAAUGCAGAUGGUUAUGAUGUUGCAAAAACAUUCCACAACAAAUUUACAUUAAUUUCUCCAGUUUGGUUCAAUAUAGUAGCUGGAGUUGGUAAGAAAUUCCAACUUGCUACUCAUGAUAUUCAAAAGAAAUGGCUUAAAGAUAUGAAAGCUGCUAAUGAUAAAAAUCAUACCGUAAGAAUUGUACCAAGAGUAUUAUUUGAACGAUGGUCUCCACAUGAAAUAACGUCAUUUCAUGCUAAUCAUGAAAAACAAGACCAGUUAAUUUCAGCUCUAAUAAGCACAGCAAAGACAUAUGAGUUCAGUGGCUAUGUCUUAGAAAUAUGGAAUCAAUUUAUAUAUACUGAAGUAGAUGCAGAAACAGUCGUUGAUAUAAUAAAAUUAAUAGCUAAGAAGCUAAAGAAUAAGGAUUUACAAGUUAUAAUAGCUAUUCCACCGACUCGAGCAUCUGAAGCUCAAAGGUUUUCUCGAAAAUAUUUUGACUACUUAUCACCUUAUGUUGAUUAUUUUUCUCUGAUGACUUACGAUUUUGCGAGUAUUCAACGCCCAGGUCCGAACAGUCCACUCGAAUGGGCACGAGACUGUGUAAGAAUAUUAGUACCUGAUGAUAACAGUCCAAAACGUGCACAAAUUUUAAUGGGAUUGAACUUUUAUGGUAAUAAUUACACGCCUGAAGGCGGUGGUCCUAUCUUGGGACAUGAAUAUUUAAAAUUUCUUGAGUCUGCAAAAGGAAAAAUUCAAUGGGAUGAUAAGAGCAAAGAACACUUCUUUGAAUACAAAUCUUCUACAGGCAGUGGUUUUGUUUUUUAUCCAACACUUUAUUAUAUUCAACAGCGUCUAGAUUUGGCCAAACAAUUAGGAACUGGAAUUUCUAUUUGGGAGCUUGGACAGGGUCUCAAUUAUUUUUACGAUCUAUUUUAAGAAUGUUCACAUUAUUUCAACCCAACCGAGCCGAACCGCAUAUUCUAGAAAGUCCUUUGCGAGAAAAAUAUGACAGUUAUGGAGAAGAUUGGAUAUUUAUGCCUGAUGGUAAUGAUAAUCCACAAGUAGCUAUUUUGAAAGGGUCUGGUCCUGAGUUGGUAAAUCGAGGAUUUUUGAGUGAAGAAAUCUGGUCCUGAAAAUGGAACCGCGUUAUUUACUGAUAAUCCAGAUGCUUUAAGAAAUUCUGACUUCUCUCCUUUCCGACAAACUAAAUUUAUUACUCAUGGAUGGAAAUCUAGUGCGUUAGCUGUAGGUCCA